This 3053-nucleotide long non-coding RNA is filed under the name Homo sapiens (human). RNAcentral's name for it is "HSALNT0337393". Lineage: Eukaryota; Metazoa; Chordata; Mammalia; Primates; Hominidae. The record is from RNAcentral.
GUGAUCUGCCCGUCUUGGCCUCCCGUAGUGCUGGGAUUACAGGCGUGAGCCACUGCGCCUGGCCCAAAUGUUAUAUCUCACAUCUCUUAGGGAGAAUGGAAAUCUCUUUAAGACUAAGGUCUACUUUGUUAAGUUAGAGUAAUGUGAGUUUAAUUGCAUCACAAAUAUUGUUAGCACUUAUUAUUCAAGUUUGUUCCUGAAUUAUAACAGGACACUGAUUUAUCCCAAAUUCCCAACUGGGAAUGAAGAACAAAGACAAGUCCCUGCAGUGGUUUCUCCACUGAGCCCAAAAAACCACAUCUGAUAAGCUAUGUAAUUUGCUAUAGCAAUUUGUGCCAAAAAUAAAGGCACACUUUUGCAGAGUCGCACAUUUCUAAGAAAAACUGAACUCCACCCCAUGCUAAUCCAGCUCCUUUCUUUCUUUUUCAAACUUGAUGUUUAUGGAUAGAAAAUACCAGGCUGCAUCUUAGGUCCCAUACCAUUGACGCCCCUUGGCCAAAUGGCUAGGUCCAUUGGCCUCUAGUCACCCCAAAUCUCUCUUGCAGUCACUCUGUAACCCGAAGGGUGAGUGUAGGCAACAACAGUGGCCAGUUUUACGACACCCCAAUAAUAUGAUGUCUUUAAUAGCACAGCAGAUUCUUGGCUGAUGGCCCUGGUUAAAGGAAGGAGGCACAGAAUCUUCGAAGUCAUCAAUUUUAAUGAGCACUGCAACUAUUCCAGUAAACUAGAUCCCUUUAUUUUUGUUUGCUUGACAAAGAAACUUGAUAUGUCUAAGACAUUUAUUUCUUUUUAGUUCAACACCAGGACAGGAACUUGCUUUUUCACCACCAGUAUUAGGCCCCCAAUGGUGCUAAAAAUUACUGUGCAGUCUUUUGGAAGGGGAAGAAGAAAAGAGGCUACAAGAAAAAGAAAAACAAAAGAACAAAACCAAACAAACACAAACUUUUGAAAAAUUCAGGCUUUCUUUGGCUCAGAGGUUAAACAUGAAUUGUUAGCGUUCCCUUUCAAAGUUGGAGUUUGCCAAGGAAUCUCAUAAGCUUGCAUGGUUUUGUGGAAGUUACAAGAGAAAUAAGAAAUUUCAUCUGCAUUUUCAAAGGCCAGGAAUACUCAGUUGUGUGUGCGUGUGUGUCUGUAUCUGUGCCUGUGUAUGAGACAGUGAGAGAGAGAGAGAGAGAGACCGAUAGACAGAUAAAUACAGCCAGAAGCCAAGGAAAUUUCAACUACUUUAUUUACAACAUAAUGAAUUGAAAUCUUUGGAAGGACUAUUUCUGAGCUCUAUGAGAAGGACACGUUAAAGGUAGCAAGUAAUUUCUGUGGUUUGUAGUGAGAUAACAAAGAGGUAAGUUGCUUGAGAUGCUUGCAUAUUAGAGAAAACAACCCAGCCUUUGCUUCUAAUCUUUUCCAUCUUUGUGCAAACUCAGUGAACUCUUAUUCCACAACUGAAGGCAACAGGCAGGCAUUUGUUUUAACUCCUUAAGUAAACUCAAGUUCUAGAAUCAUUAAAGUCGAAAGUCCUUGUACAAAUCACUAAAUACUUUCCUUAUUAUAAGGAAUUCAUAGCACAGGGCAAACUGUGUCAUCUCUUAUGAAUUUUUCAAUCAAAAUAAAUUUCUCCUUCUUUUUCUGUUAAAACAUUCUUUUAAUGGAAGAAGGGGGGGAAAAGCAGCCCAGAAAAAAUUACGCAAAUGGCAAGGUAGUGACAAGGCAUCUAUCAAAGUGGCUCUGGAAAUUCCAAUUUUUAAAGUGCUAUAAAAAUAUCAUUAUUAAUGAUGAUUGACUGGGUUUUCAGAGCCAAGAUAUUUCAAGGCUGCUAAGUUAGAGUUGAGUGCAAAAGCGGGGGUGCUAAAAUGGCUUCAGGGUUCCUUCACUUUGUUUCUUCAUUGAUUUUUAAGUAACAUGUGAACACAGUCAAAUUGAUGAUUUUCAUUUUGAAUUAGUUUGCCCUCUGUCAUGCAGAGCCUUCCAUCUUUUCCUGACUGUCAGUGCCUAAUUCAUCUUCAUCAAGUCCCCAGCAGGAAGAUUCAGAUCUUAUAUUACUCUUUGUUUUACAGUUUUAUUGUUUACAGGAAAUUGGGACACAGAGAAAAAUAGAGAGGAAUCUACCCAAGCUUUAAGUAGAACUACUCAAGGGGAGAAGGUACAACUCCACUUCUGGGCCUGGAGAUUCCUGAAAGAUAUUCGGUCUUGGUCUGUGUAAAUCUCAUACUUUGUACCUGAUGCCUUCAUGAACCUAGAAGUGCUCUCCCUUUUACAGAGGAGAAACUAAGGCUAAAGAAAAGCAUGUACGGAAUAAGCAAUAACCAUAUUAGAUUUCAGUAUGAUCAACUGUUACCGUAAAAAUCUUGUAUUUUGCUCUAUUUUCAGUCACUGUGAAGGCUGGGAAAAAUGACAAGUAUGGUUUUUUAAAGUGUAAUGAAAAUGUGCUUGAAAACAUCACAAAAAUAUUGUUUAGGUGAGGCCCAAGGCCCAAGUUAGAGGACUUCUUUAAGGACACAGAGGGAAAAAGAAAAAAUGUCAACACCAACAAAACCUAUCAUUUGCUGAGCAAAAAUCUCCUUCCUACCCCCUGAAGCGCCUUAACUCUCCACCUUCUGUUUCUAACAGUUAGAGCUGCUGCAGCUUCUGAAGAUUCAUUCUUGCAGUCCUAUGGGAAGUCACCAGUUUGUUCUUUCAACAGUGUGCCAAAAGUGGAAAAAGGAAGAGUUUAAGCAACUGUCAACCAGGAAACUUUCUGUUUGUUUAUUUUUAAAAAAGAAGACUUAUCAAGCUAGCCAAGAAAUUUUGUUGAAGUUACAGGCUGUCAUUCUUUAUAAUCGCUCUACUUUCUUUUUCUUUCUGAAUCCUGCAUUUCCAUGGAGGAUAGAUAAUCUUGGGCAUUAUCCUCAUUGGCUCGGCUUAGCUCUGUCCCUUGGGGUCCUGCUGACUCUAUAAACUUUCAACUCCUAAAUCCAAUGCUGGCUCACCCAGGAAAGAAAAAAGCAAACUGAACAAUAAAAUUCAAGCUGUAGCUUCCGUUGUGACUCAAGAAUAAAAAAUGUUAAUGGCCAACAGCA